UGAUUUUGUAUCAGCGUCUCCCCGGUAGGUGGUAGUUAUUUGACUAUGCCGUUGAGGACCGGUUUGUGUCUGCUUCUUUACCUCUACAUCCAAUGCCUUACCAGUACUUUUCUCACUCAGGUGGAGAACCAGUACCACCCCAUUCUUGACCUGACCUGGACUCAAGACAGCAGACAACAUACUUUUUUGAACAGGUGGACAGCCGGCGCGUGGUAGGAAAGCUCUCUAGCCGUGGAGUGUGAUUUGUAUCAGCGUCUCCCCGGUGGAGAACCAGUACCACCCCAUUCUUGACACGACCUGGACUCAAGACAGCGGACAACAUGUAAGCGCACAGCGGUGUGAAGAGCCACAACCUUGCCGAGACCUCUGAUGCUUCGGUUGCGUUUUUUAAUAAGUAUAUUUUUUUCCUGGACCUUUCCAGACUUUUUUGAACAGGUGGACAGCCGGCGCGUGGUAGGAAAGCUCUCUAGCCG
This is a long non-coding RNA of Bufo gargarizans (Asiatic toad), 473 nucleotides long. RefSeq lists it as uncharacterized. The record is from RefSeq and is a predicted model, not a curated record. The transcript is spliced from 3 exons. Lineage: Eukaryota; Metazoa; Chordata; Amphibia; Anura; Bufonidae.